This 502-nucleotide ribosomal RNA is filed under the name uncultured soil bacterium. RNAcentral's name for it is "bacterial SSU rRNA". It matches the Rfam family "Bacterial small subunit ribosomal RNA", at positions 26 to 518 of the family's 1533-position model. The record is from RNAcentral.
AGGACGAACGCUGGCGGCGCGCUUAACACAUGCAAGUCGAGCGAGAACCAGGGCUUCGGCCCUGGGGAAAGCGGCGAACGGGUGAGUAACACGUGAGUAACCUGUCCUCGGCACCGGGAUAGCCCGGGGAAACCCGGAUUAAUACCGGAUGGCCUUUCGAGUCUUCGGGCUCGUCAGAAAAGGUAGCUUCGGCCUCCGGCCGAGGAGGGACUCGCGGCGGAUUAGCUUGUUGGUGGGGUAACGGCUCACCAAGGCGACGAUCCGUAGCUGGUCUGAGAGGACGAUCAGCCACACUGGGACUGAGACACGGCCCAGACUCCUACGGGAGGCAGCAGUGGGGAAUCUUGCGCAAUGGGCGAAAGCCUGACGCAGCGACGCCGCGUGCGGGAAGAAGGCCUUCGGUUGUAAACCGCUUUCAGGAGGGACGAAGCCACUCGGUUAAUAGCCCAGAGGUGACGGUACCUCCAGAAGAAGCCCCGGCUAACUACGUGCCAGCAGCCGC